CAGUCGCCGCGGGAAUACGAAGGGGGCUAGCGUUGUUCGGAAUCACUGGGCGUAAAGCGCACGUAGGCGGACACUUAAGUCAGAGGUGAAAUCCCAAGGCUCAACCUUGGAACUGCCUUUGAUACUGGGUGUCUUGAGUUCGGGAGAGGGGAGUGGAACUGCGAGUGUAGAGGUGAAAUUCGUAGAUAUUCGCAAGAACACCAGUGGCGAAGGCGGCUCACUGGCCCGAUACUGACGCUGAGGUGCGAAAGCGUGGGGAGCAAACAGGAUUAGAUACCCGCGUAGUCCCUGUCUCUUAUAC
Molecule: ribosomal RNA, 301 nt
Filed under: uncultured bacterium
Lineage: Bacteria
Description: partial 16S ribosomal RNA
Rfam family: Bacterial small subunit ribosomal RNA
Source: RNAcentral